AUGGAAAACAGGCAACAGCAAGGCAGCGAUAAUUUAAUAUCGCCGGACAAUAAUGAGCAACCUGUAGUUGCAGUGUUUGACAGAGUUUUUAAUGCAUUUCAACGUGCCAGGCGAGAAUUAAUGGCUACCACAUCUUCAAAUGGUACUGACAACAUUUUGACUGCAACAAGAACUCUUUUCAGGAGACGCAGAUAUCAAGCUCAAGGCACAUCCACUGGAAGAGGCCGUUCAAGCUGGCAGGUGGGCCUCUUUCUCCUCCCAGGACCAGAUCUUCAAAAACUUCCAUCUUUGUCUGACCGGCAUGCCCUGACAAAUAAUGGAUUAGGAGUUCCAGCGAAGGAGAUCGCUGAUUGUCAACUGUCUACAAUUGAUUUAAACUGGAGCCUAUCAGAUUUGAAUACUUUCGUUUGUCAGAGCUUCCCUAUGAUAAGUUUGAACCUGGUGGGUUUUGAGUUGGCAAAAGUAGACAAGGGGAAAAAAAAUCAAGAAGGUACAUGCAAGCUCUGUGAGAGAUCUGAAGAAGAUUGUGGGAAAAAGCAGACUUUAUGUUGUCCCUCGUGCUGA
RNAcentral lists this long non-coding RNA (564 nucleotides) under Carassius auratus (goldfish). RNAcentral describes it as "lncRNA (ENSCARG00000060306.1)". The record is from RNAcentral. Lineage: Eukaryota; Metazoa; Chordata; Actinopteri; Cypriniformes; Cyprinidae.